GAUGAACGCUGGCGGCGUGCUUAACACAUGCAAGUCGAACGAAGCACCUUGAUUCGAUUCUUCGGAUGAAGAUCUUGGUGACUGAGUGGCGGACGGGUGAGUAACGCGUGGGUAACCUGCCUCAUACAGGGGGAUAACAGCUAGAAAUGACUGCUAAUACCGCAUAAGACCACCGCACCGCAUGGUGCAGGGGUAAAAACUCAGGUGGUAUGAGAUGGACCCGCGUCUGAUUAGGUAGUUGGUGGGGUAACGGCCUACCAAGCCGACGAUCAGUAGCCGACCUGAGAGGGUGACCGGCCACAUUGGGACUGAGACACGGCCCAAACUCCUACGGGAGGCAGCAGUGGGGAAUAUUGCACAAUGGGGGAAACCCUGAUGCAGCGACGCCGCGUGAGCGAUGAAGUAUUUCGGUAUGUAAAGCUCUAUCAGCAGGGAAGAAAAUGACGGUACCGGACUAAGAAGCACCGGCUAAAUACGUG
RNAcentral lists this ribosomal RNA (479 nucleotides) under uncultured bacterium. RNAcentral's name for it is "partial 16S ribosomal RNA". It matches the Rfam family "Bacterial small subunit ribosomal RNA", at positions 28 to 507 of the family's 1533-position model. The record is from RNAcentral.